CCUACGGGUGGCAGCAGUGAGGAAUAUUGGUCAAUGGGCGCGAGCCUGAACCAGCCAAGUCGCGUGAGGGAAGACGGUCCUAUUGAUUGUAAACCUCUUUUGUCGGGGAGCAAAAGCCGCCACGCGUGGCGUUCCGAGACUACCCGAAGAAAAAGCAUCGGCUAACUCCUUGCCAGCAGCCGCGGUAAUACGGAGGAUGCGAGCGUUCUCCGGAUUUCUUGGGUUUAAAGGGUGCGCAGGCGGAAGAUCAAGUCAGCGGUAAAAUUGAGAGGCUCAACCUCGUCGAGCCGUUGAAACUGGUUGUCUUGAGUGAGCGAGAAGUAUGCGGAAUGCGUGGUGUAGCGGUGAAAUGCAUAGAGAGCACGCAGAACUCCGAUUGCGAAGGCAGCAUACCGGCGCUCAACUGACGCUCAUGCACGAAAGUGUGGGUAUCGAACAGGAUUAGAUACCCUUGUAGUC
RNAcentral lists this ribosomal RNA (459 nucleotides) under uncultured bacterium. Its description in RNAcentral is "partial 16S ribosomal RNA". It matches the Rfam family "Bacterial small subunit ribosomal RNA", at positions 338 to 795 of the family's 1533-position model. The record is from RNAcentral.